GAUGAACGCUAGCUACAGGCUUAACACAUGCAAGUCGAGGGGCAGCAGGAGCAAAGCUUGCUUUGCUUGCUGGCGACCGGCGCACGGGUGCGUAACGCGUAUCGAACCUGCCCUAUACUCGGGGAUAGCCUUGCGAAAGUAAGAUUAAUACCCGAUGUUGUUAUUCCAUCGCAUGAUGUUUUAACCAAAGAUUUAUCGGUAUAGGAUGGCGAUGCGUGACAUUAGGUAGUAGGUGAGGUAACGGCUCACCUAGCCUACGAUGUCUAGGGGUUCUGAGAGGAAGGUCCCCCCACACUGGAACUGAGACACGGUCCAGACUCCUACGGGAGGCAGCAGUGGGGGAUAUUGGACAAUGGGGGAAACCCUGAUCCAGCGACGCCGCGUGAGUGAAGAAGUAUUUCGGUAUGUAAAGCUCUAUCAGCAGGGAAGAAAAAUAACCAAAUUGACUGUACCUGACUAAGAAGCCCCGGCUAACUACGUGCCAGCAG
This 488-nucleotide ribosomal RNA is filed under the name uncultured bacterium. Its description in RNAcentral is "bacterial SSU rRNA". It matches the Rfam family "Bacterial small subunit ribosomal RNA", at positions 28 to 514 of the family's 1533-position model. The record is from RNAcentral.